RNAcentral lists this small RNA (28 nucleotides) under Bombyx mori (domestic silkworm). RNAcentral's name for it is "piRNA piR-bmo-1355916". Lineage: Eukaryota; Metazoa; Arthropoda; Insecta; Lepidoptera; Bombycidae. The record is from RNAcentral.
GAAGCAGUCGUCUUCCGGUGGUAAUGGA